Molecule: ribosomal RNA, 512 nt
Filed under: uncultured bacterium
Lineage: Bacteria
Description: partial 16S ribosomal RNA
Rfam family: Bacterial small subunit ribosomal RNA
Source: RNAcentral
GAUGAACGCUGGCGGCGUGCCUAAUACAUGCAAGUCGAACGAAACGGCUUUAUCACCGAGGGCUGGCACUCACCGAAAAAGGGGUGAGUGGCGAACGGGUGAGUAACACGUGUGCAAGCUGCCCAAAAGAGGGGGAGAACACUAGGAAACAGGUGCUAAUACCGCAUAACCAUGGUUACCGCGUGGCAACGAUGGAAAAGGUGGCUGUAGUACCGCAGUUGGAUGGUGGGGGGGCGCAUUAGCUAGGCGGUCGGGUAAAGGCUUACUUAGGCAAUGAUGCGUAGACGAAUUGAGUGGUUGAUCGGCCACAUUGGGACUGGGCCACGGCCCAUGCUCCUACGGGACGCAGCAGUAGGGUAUGUUCCGCAGUGGGCGAAAGCCUGGUGGAGCGGCGCCGCGUCGGUGACGGAGGUCCUCCGAUCGUAAUGCCCUCUUGUUAGUGAUGAACGUCUGUCGGAGUUACUGUUCACGUUUUGACGGUAUCUAAUCAGAAAGCCCCGGCUAACUACGUG